CCCGCUGAACUUAAGCAUAUUAAUAAGCGGAGGAAAAGAAACUAACAAGGAUUCCCCUAGUAACGGCGAGUGAAGCGGGAAGAGCUCAAGCUUAAAAUCUCCGUGCAAGUUUUGCGCGGCGAAUUGUAGUCUAUAGAGGCGUGAUCAGUGUGGGCGCUUGGGGCAAGUUCCUUGGAAGAGGACAGCAUGGAGGGUGAUACUCCCGUUCAUCCCUGAGUUGCUCGUGCGUACGAUCCGUUUUCUUUGAGUCGCGUUGUUUGGGAAUGCAGCGAAAAAGUAGGUGGUAAAUUCCAUCUAAAGCUAAAUAUUGGUGCGAGACCGAUAGCGAACAAGUACCGUGAGGGAAAGAUGAAAAGAACUUUGAAAAGAGAGUUAAAGAGUACCUGAAACUGCUGAAAGGGAACCGAAUCGUUUUCCAGUGUCUAUAAUCCCGUGGUAUAUUUUCAUUUGGCGAGUGUGUGCGUGCGUGUGCUGUGGCAGCGGCUUUUUUGGCUGCGCUCGGCGUGUGUGCUGUGUGUGCUUGCUGGUGCCCUGUGCUGCGGUGGGACGUCAAGGUCAGUUCGUAUGCUGCGGGAAAUGGCCGCCGAGGAGGUAGGGCUUACGCUUGCGUUUGUCUGUUAUAUCUUGGUGGACGAGUAGUCGCGGUUGGGACUGAGGUGCCUACAACGUGUUUUUGAGUGGGCCUGUGUCUCUGUGUGCGCCGUGUGCGGAUAGCUUGCUAUGCGUGUGUGGUUGUGUGUGGAUUGAUGUGGGUUUUAACUUGUUGCCGUUCGGGACGUUGACGAAAUGGAGCGAUUUGACCCGUCUUGAAACACGG
Molecule: non-coding RNA, 817 nt
Filed under: Phytophthora infestans T30-4
Lineage: Eukaryota; Oomycota; Peronosporomycetes; Peronosporales; Peronosporaceae
Description: Eukaryotic large subunit ribosomal RNA
Rfam family: Eukaryotic large subunit ribosomal RNA
Source: Rfam by way of RNAcentral